UACGAAGGGGGGCUAGCGUUGUUCGGAAUUACUGGGCGUAAAGCGCGCGCAGGCGGUCUUCCAAGUCAGUGGUGAAAGCCCCGGAGCUCAACUCCGGAACUGCCAUUGAAACUGUUAGACUUGAGGAUAGAGAGGUGAGUGGAAAUUCCCAGUGUAGAGGUGAAAUUCGUAGAUAUUUGGGAAGAACACCAGUGGCGAAGGCGGCUAUCUGGACCGGUACUGACGCUGAGGCGCGAAAGCGUGGGGAGCAAACAGG
This 256-nucleotide ribosomal RNA is filed under the name uncultured bacterium. RNAcentral's name for it is "partial 16S ribosomal RNA". It matches the Rfam family "Bacterial small subunit ribosomal RNA", at positions 524 to 776 of the family's 1533-position model. The record is from RNAcentral.